Molecule: ribosomal RNA, 458 nt
Filed under: uncultured bacterium
Lineage: Bacteria
Description: bacterial SSU rRNA
Rfam family: Bacterial small subunit ribosomal RNA
Source: RNAcentral
UUACGGGAGGCAGCAGUGAGGAAUAUUGGGCAAUGGAGGCAACUCUGACCCAGCCAUGCCGCGUGAAGGAUGAAGGCCCUAUGGGUUGUAAACUUCUUUUGUAUGGGAAUAAACGCAGUUACGUGUAACUGUUUGAAUGUACCAUAAGAAUAAGCACCGGCUAACUCCGUGCCAGCAGCCGCGGUAAUACGGAGGGUGCAAGCGUUAUCCGGAUUUAUUGGGUUUAAAGGGAGCGUAGGCGGGAUUGUAAGUCAGUGGUGAAAGCCCGUAGCUCAACUACGGAACUGCCAUUGAUACUGCAGACCUAGAGUACACUUGAAGUGGGCGGAAUGUGUCAUGUAGCGGUGAAAUGCUUAGAUAUGACACAGAACACCGAUUGCGAAGGCAGCUCACUAAAUUGUAACUGACGCUGAGGCUCGAUAGCGUGGGGAUCAAACAGGAUUAGAUACCCUGGUAGG